GACGAACGCUGGCGGCGUGCUUAACACAUGCAAGUCGAACGGGCCUUGUCCCCUUUUUUUUGGGGGUGGGGUUAGUGGCGAACGGGUGAGUAACACGUGAGUAACCUGCCCCUCACUUCUGGAUAACCGCUUGAAAGGGUGGCUAAUACGGGGUGUUCUGGCCUGCUCGCAUGGGUGGGUUUGGAAAGAUUCGACCGGUUUUGGUUGUUUUGGUGGGGGAUGGGCUCGCGGCCUAUCAGCUGGUUGGUGGGGUGAUGGCCUGCCAAGGCUUUGACGGGUAGCCGGCCUGAGAGGGUGGGCGGUCACACUGGGACUGAGACACGGCCCAGACUCCUACGGGAGGCAGCAGUGGGGAAUAUUGCACAAUGGGCGCAAGCCUGAUGCAGCGACGCCGCGUGAGGGAUGGAGGCCUUCGGGUUGUGAACCUCUUUCGCCAGUGAAGAAGGUCCUGCUCUUUGUGGUGGGGUUGACGGUAGCUGGGUUAAUGAAGCGCCGGCUAACUACGUG
RNAcentral lists this ribosomal RNA (507 nucleotides) under uncultured bacterium. RNAcentral describes it as "partial 16S ribosomal RNA". It matches the Rfam family "Bacterial small subunit ribosomal RNA", at positions 28 to 507 of the family's 1533-position model. The record is from RNAcentral.